Molecule: long non-coding RNA, 621 nt
Organism: Copidosoma floridanum
Lineage: Eukaryota; Metazoa; Arthropoda; Insecta; Hymenoptera; Encyrtidae
Source: RefSeq, a predicted model, not a curated record
UGGAGUGCUCCAAAACUUUAGUAACUUUGUAAUUGUUUGCGUACUGUUUAGCAUAUUUUUCUACGAAUUAUAAAUAUUUAAAAAAAUGUUUAAACAAGAAAUACUAGGGAAAACAAUCACCAUAUAUUACUUGAAUUAAGUUAAAUCAAAAUUCAAUAAAAAAAAACAUACACACACACAUUUGAUAUCCUAACCUUAACCUGUAGACUUUAUGGUUAUCGUUUUGCAAAGGACAGGAUUUAUUUGGCUUCAAAAUGAACAACUACAAAGAAACGAAGGAGGAAAAAGGAGUCACUGGUGAAAAGAUGCUGUGCACCUUAAAAGUAUACAUGAUGAUUAUUUAAAUGCUGUGGCUGCAAAAAAUGCUUUCACACACAAAUAACAAAAAAGAGGUAUUAUUGCGGGAUUAAUCAUGUAAAUUGAGAACAUGGUUAAACAUUCAGCUUGUUUAUGGCCUGUAAUAAACUUGGACAAAGUUUAAGCAUUGACCACUAUCUAUUUAAAGAUGCAUCGAAGCAUGUCAAAAGUAGCUAGUGUUGGUGCGUAAUAAGCACAUGUGUUCUUUUGUAAGAAUAAAGUUAUUUUUAAAAUAGUAUGCUUAAAAUGAUAUACUAGAUGAGU